UAUAUACAGGGGGUACCGGUACUGAGUCAGUGUGGAGGUUAUAUACAGGGGGUACCAGUACUGAGUCAGUGUGGAGGCUAUAUACAGGGGGUACCAGUACUGAGUCAAUGUGGAGGUUAUAUACAGGGGGUACCGGUACUGAGUCAGUGUGGAGGCUAUAUACAGGGGGUACCGGUACAGAGUCAGUGUGGAGGCUAUAUACAGGGGGUACCGGUACAGAGUCAGUGUGGAGGUUAUAUACAGGGGGUACCAGUACUGAGUCAGUGUGGAGGUUAUAUACAGGGGGUACCGGUACUGAGUCAAUGUGGAGGUUAUAUACAGGGGGUACCGGUACUGAGUCAGUGUGGAGGCUAUAUACAGGGGGUACCAGUACUGAGUCAGUGUGGAGGCUAUAUACAGGGGGUACCAGUACUGAGUCAGUGUGGAGGCUAUAUACAGGGGGUACCGGUACUGAGUCAGUGUGGAGGCUAUAUACAGGGGGUACCAGUACUGAGUCAGUGUGGAGGCUAUAUACAGGGGGUACCAGUACUGAGUCAGUGUGGAGGCUAUAUACAGGGGGUACCAGUACUGAGUCAGUGUGGAGGCUAUAUACAUGGGGUACCAGUACUGAGUCAGCGUGCUGGGGUACAGGUCAUUUAUACAUGUAGGUAGGGGUGAAGUGACUAUGUAAUACACAUAGGGAAUAGGGUGCCAUUGGGCCCUGAUCUAAAGUAGUACACUAUAUAGAGAAUAGGGUGUAAUUUCACACACAGCCUCUGUCAGGUGUGUCAGCGUUUACUGCUAACCUGACCCCAUAACAACCCAAGCCUGGUCUCUGCUAACCUGACCCCAUAACAACCCA
Long non-coding RNA from Oncorhynchus tshawytscha (Chinook salmon), 841 nucleotides. Lineage: Eukaryota; Metazoa; Chordata; Actinopteri; Salmoniformes; Salmonidae. The record is from Ensembl.